AGAGUUUGAUCAUGGCUCAGAACAAACGCUGGCGGCGUGCCUAAUACAUGCAAGUCGAACGGGGAAAGUAGCAAUACGAGUACUAGUGGCGCACGGGUGAGGAAUACAUGGGUAAUCUGCCCUCGAGCUCGGGAUAACCAGUCGAAAGACUGGCUAAUACCGGAUAUGACCACAAGAUCUGAGGAUCAAGGGGUAAAAGGUUUUUCGCUUGAGGAUGAGCCCAUGUGGGAUUAGCUAGUUGGUGUAGGUAACGGCUCACCAAGGCGACGAUCCCUAACUGGUCUUAGAGGAUGAUCAGUCACACUGGAACUGAGACACGGUCCAGACUCCUACGGGAGGCAGCAGUAGGGAAUAUUGCACAAUGGAGGAAACUCUGAUGCAGCGACGCCGCGUGAGUGAUGAAGGCCUUCGGGUCGUAAAGCUCUGUCGUAUGGGACUAACAAAAUGAAGGUACCAUGCAAGAAAGGAUCGGCUAACUUCGUG
Molecule: ribosomal RNA, 483 nt
Filed under: uncultured bacterium
Lineage: Bacteria
Description: bacterial SSU rRNA
Rfam family: Bacterial small subunit ribosomal RNA
Source: RNAcentral